UAGGGAAUCUUCCGCAAUGGGCGAAAGCCUGACGGAGCAACGCCGCGUGAGUGAUGACGGUCUUCGGAUCGUAAAACUCUGUUAUUAGGGAAGAACAAAUGUGUAAGUAACUAUGCACGUCUUGACGGUACCUAAUCAGAAAGCCACGGCUAACUACGUGCCAGCAGCCGCGGUAAUACGUAGGUGGCAAGCGUUAUCCGGAAUUAUUGGGCGUAAAGCGCGCGUAGGCGGUUUUUUAAGUCUGAUGUGAAAGCCCACGGCUCAACCGUGGAGGGUCAUUGGAAACUGGAAAACUUGAGUGCAGAAGAGGAAAGUGGAAUUCCAUGUGUGGCGGUGAAAUGCGCAGAGAUAUGGAGGAACACCAGUGGCGAAGGCGACUUUCUGGUCUGUAACUGACGCUGAUGUGCGAAAGCGUGGGGAUCAAACAGG
Molecule: ribosomal RNA, 429 nt
Filed under: Actinomycetes bacterium
Lineage: Bacteria; Bacillati; Actinomycetota; Actinomycetes
Description: Actinobacteria bacterium partial 16S ribosomal RNA
Rfam family: Bacterial small subunit ribosomal RNA
Source: RNAcentral